RNAcentral lists this ribosomal RNA (459 nucleotides) under uncultured bacterium. Its description in RNAcentral is "partial 16S ribosomal RNA". It matches the Rfam family "Bacterial small subunit ribosomal RNA", at positions 338 to 795 of the family's 1533-position model. The record is from RNAcentral.
CCUACGGGGGGCUGCAGUGAGGAAUAUUGGUCAAUGGACGAGAGUCUGAACCAGCCAAGUAGCGUGAAGGAUGACUGUCCUGUGGGUUGUAAACUUCUUUUAUCUGGGAAUAAAAACUUCCACGCGUGGGCUUUUGUAUGUACCAUAUGAAUAAGCAUCGGCUAACUCCGUGCCAGCAGCCGCGGUAAUACGGAGGAUCCGAGCGUUAUCCGGAUUUAUUGGGUUUAAAGGGAGCGUAGGUGGUUUGUUAAGUCAGUGGUAAAAUGUCCGGGCUCAACCCGGGCCGGCCGUUGAAACUGGGGAUCUUGAGUGGGCGAGAAGUAUGCGGAAUGCGUGGUGUAGCGGUGAAAUGCAUAGAUAUCACGCAGAACUCCGAUUGCGAAGGCAGCAUACCGGCGCCCGACUGACGCUGAGGCACGAAAGCGUGGGGAUCGAACAGGAUUAGAUACCCGUGUAGUC